Molecule: non-coding RNA, 76 nt
Organism: Marmota monax (woodchuck)
Lineage: Eukaryota; Metazoa; Chordata; Mammalia; Rodentia; Sciuridae
Source: the annotation of a RefSeq genome assembly
GCUGGGGAUAUAGCUCAGUUGGUAGAGUGUUUGUCUCCCAUGUAUAAGGCCCUGGGUUCAAUCCCCAGUCCUAACA